This 388-nucleotide ribosomal RNA is filed under the name uncultured bacterium. RNAcentral describes it as "bacterial SSU rRNA". It matches the Rfam family "Bacterial small subunit ribosomal RNA", at positions 28 to 417 of the family's 1533-position model. The record is from RNAcentral.
GACGAACGCUGGCGGCGUGCUUAACACAUGCAAGUCGAGCGGUAAGGCCCUUUCGGGGGUACACGAGCGGCGAACGGGUGAGUAACACGUGGGUGACCUGCCCUCAGCUCUGGGAUAAGCCUGGGAAACUGGGUCUAGUACUGGAUAUGACUCCACGGUGCAUGUCGUGGGGUGGAAAGCCUUGUGCGGCUGAGGAUGGGCCCGCGGCCUAUCAGCUUGUUGGUGGGGUGAUGGCCUACCAAGGCGACGACGGGUAGCCGGCCUGAGAGGGCGACCGGCCACACUGGGACUGAGACACGGCCCAGACUCCUACGGGAGGCAGCAGUGGGGAAUCUUGCGCAAUGGGCGAAAGCCUGACGCAGCGACGCCGCGUGAGGGAUGACGGCCU